UUUGUAAAAGGCAUUCUUUAUAAUAACAAUUUUUUGCCAGUGUUAUUCAGCAGUAUAUAUUUUUCAAAAUUAGAAGAUUCACCAUAUGUCAUCAUCCCUCCUCAAAAAUUGCUGAGUUGACAAUUACAGAAUCAAUUGUUGACAACAGGUUAUAUAAUCAUCUCUAAUAUUAUAUAUAAAUCGAUGCUGUCACAGAAAGCUUCUUUCUGGUUUCAUCACAACUUUUCACACGUACUGUUCCUAUCCAAAUCUAAAGCUGUUUUCUAUCAGAGUUGUUAGAGCUCUGAAAUAUUCACCUGGCAAACAAAGCCUUCCUGCUUUCAAAAAAGAAAAAAAAAAUCCCCUCUCUGUGUUCCAAAAAGUCUAUGGAAAUCUACAUGUUAAACCAAUAAAAACCAGGCAGUAGCAGCAUAUGGAACAUUUUUCCAAUUAUUUCCCCUCUAAAAAAUUACUUUCUGCAGGUUAAAUCUCAGGUGUUUUGGAUAUUGCAGAUUCAAUAGCUCUUUAAAAUUUUAAUUGGUUCACAGCCCGGUUCUGGAAUAAAUAACAAACUUGAGGAAGAUUACUAACAGUUUUUAAAAGAACUUUUUGGGAGAGGAGGAGGGUUCCUUAGGUAACAUAACUGAACUCCUUUGGAUUUUAAAAACAAACAUAUCACAGAGUCUAAAAGAAUAUUAUUUUGAAAAUGGUUACUUGUUUCAGUUGAACCUAGAAAAAUGCUGAGAACUACACAAUUACCUUUUCAGAGGAAAAAUGCAUAUAUCUACUAUUUUCUUCAUUGUAAUCUUUUUCAUUUAAUCACUUGCUUACUACUAUGCAAUCUACUGAAAGUGUUUAUGAUUCUGAGGAGUAAAAUUUAAAUAACUUUCCACUGGAAACAUUAGCUUCUCUCUUUAAAGCAAACAUUUUGAAAGCCUAAUCCUUAAAUUUACCUUCAGAGAAUACUCUCUAGUAAUUAAUUCACUUUUUAAUUGUUUUUAAUUAAAUACCUGAUUCAUAAUUUCUGUUUUAUUUUUAUUUGUGAUAUGAAUGCAAAUCAUUUUCUGUGGAAUUACAUGAGUGAAAGAAAACAUGACUAUCCCAACGCACACUGAAUUUCCACUGAAAUACUUCCCCCUGAAGCACCACGAGAGUGUCUCAGGCUAGCCAGCGGAGGAUGACAAGACACUUGGACCAGACAUCGCUGUCAUCCUAGCUGGCAACCAGUCUACACAAGACCUGUACAUAAUUCUGGUCAGAUGAAUAGCCCCACCAAACCCAGCUGAAAUCUUUGACCAUGGAAGGAUGAGCUAGAGAAAUGAGGUCUCCUCAGAAGUUGAAAGCAAUGAAAUAGAUGACUGGAUGGCUUUAUAUUAUUCUUUUAGGUACCAGGGGAUGAACUGUAGACAUGAUUUUUAGCAGCAUAAGUUAGCUUGUCUCCAUUCUGCAAACGUGUUUAUUUACCAGAAAGAUUCCUGUAUCCGACUCAGGAAUAUUAGCUGUCCGAAUGAGAGACUCAGGAGACAAGACAGAAAGCUUUGGUAAUUGGGACCUAGAUUGAGGGAUUACCCCCCAGAAGUGAAGAAAAGAAUUGGAGAAGAGAUCGAUCAACAUUUCAGCACAGGGACCAACGCAAGAGAAGUAUAUCUUAACAUGUCAUUUUAAUGGAGCAUGAAAGUGUCUGCAAGAGCUAUGUGUGAACAGGGCAUUUUACCUCUUAAAUGGAUACUAUUUUUGUUUACCUUUAGUGCAAAUACCAAGGAGCAGGGUGGGCUGUCACACGUAGAAUGUUGAGUCAUGAGCACACCCUACUGGUUUCCUGUGAGACAGCAAUAAAAGACAAUAGAAGGUCUCCAAGAUACUUGUUUUUUUGUUUUUGUGCUUUGUUUUUUUAAAUUACAGACAUGAUGAAACACACAAUACUUCAUAAUUUUAAUAUUAUACUCAAAUAAUAGUAACAUGUAUAUUAUGUAUAUGUUAAUACAGAUUACUAUAUAAUACAUAUAUUUCAACUAAAUCAAAUCAUUUCUGAAGUUUGUAGAUGUCUUCAUGUGCCUUCUUUCCCUCUUUUUCUAUUUUUAAGAUUG
Molecule: long non-coding RNA, 2066 nt
Organism: Hipposideros armiger (great roundleaf bat)
Lineage: Eukaryota; Metazoa; Chordata; Mammalia; Chiroptera; Hipposideridae
Exons: 3
Source: RefSeq, a predicted model, not a curated record